AUUGAUAGUUUAAUAUGUUGAAAAAAAUAUUUUAAAAGUUUAUCCAAACGUAUUAAAUCAUUUGGUAAGCUUAUACAACAAUAUUAAUUCAAGGCCAAAAUGAGAACUCUUCAUGUGCCAACCUCAAGACAAGGAUUUAACCAAUUUCCAAAUACUUUUGAAACGGUAGUCUGCAAAACACGCUUCUGAGUAUGUGGCUGCAAUAUUUUGGCUGCGGGCAAAGUUCUAAGAGAUUCUCCAUUCCACACUCAAGAAAUGACCCUGAAUGUGGUAACGAGCCACUUCUCUGUGAGUGUAAGGCAAUCGUGUAUCAGACCUGAAAAAUCUAAUUUAAUGAUAUGUCUCCUAGGAUUUUACCAAAAGUAUGUAGUAAAUGGAAAAUGUAUCAGUUCGAGAACAAAUGCAGCAAGAAUCUUCUCCUUCUUUGGAAACAUUUACUUCUAUGAACAGAUGUUUUCCAGAACAAAGCACUCCAAGUUUAAAAUUGAGGACAAAAAUUACUGAUUGUCAUCUAGAGCAUUCCCUCCGAUUAGCUAGCAAAUGUACAGCUCUGGUAAAAAUUUUGAGAUGUUAAAUUAUCAGUUUCUCUGGAUGCACUAUUUAUAAGUAUGCAUCUGACUAAAAUGAACAUUUAUGUUUUAUUCUAUAAACUAAUGGCAACAUUUCUCACAAAUUAAAAUAUUGUAAUUUUCAGCAUUUAUUUGCAGAAAAUGACAACUGGUCCAAAAAAAUGCAGUACAAGUAAAUAUUUUAUUUUUAUACAAUACUAAUAUUUGGGGAUAGAACAAAAAAAUCUUUAUUUAUGGAAGCACCCCAUUAUCAACACAUCGUCAACCAAAUUUCACCGUGGGUGUGAGACACCGCUUGUAGAUCUCUCCAGGUCUCCGUCAAACCAUUAGAUGACCCGAUUUUGGGCAAAGCUGAAAAUUAGACUCAUCAGCGAUAACUACCUUACUCAAGUCCUCUACAACCCUCCAGUCCUAUUUGCUUCUCUUUAAUGAAAUGAAUUGGUGGUCAUCCAGAUCAGUGGAGUUGUUUUUUCCUAUGACGGUCUUUUGUUUUGUUGUCCCCAAUGUCUGCUGCUUGACACUGUUCUUAUGAACCUCUUUGAAAUUGUAAGGGUGGAAGCAACCUGACGCUCACUGGAGAUCCCUCUGCCAGUAAAGACAGAAUUUAGCCCUUUUCCUCACUCAAAACUUUUGGCAUUGUUAGCAGUUAUUUUUCUAUUCCAAUAAAUUUGAGGUACUACUAGCACUGUUUUUACCAUUCAGCUAUUCCGAUUGCAGGAG
Pelobates cultripes (western spadefoot toad) is the source of this 1289-nucleotide non-coding RNA. The record is from the annotation of a GenBank genome assembly. NCBI's taxonomy places the organism in Eukaryota, Metazoa, Chordata, Amphibia, Anura, Pelobatidae.